UAAUACGAACCGUCCAAACGUUAUUCGGAAUUACUGGGCUUAAAGGGUUUGUAGGCGGCCUUGUAAGUGGGGUGUGAAAUCCCUCGGCUCAACCGAGGAAUAGCGCUCCAAACUACAUGGCUUGAGGGAGACAGGGGUAAGCGGAACUGAUGGUGGAGCGGUGAAAUGCGUUGAUAUCAUCAGGAACACCGGUGGCGAAAGCGGCUUACUGGGUCUCUUCUGACGCUGAGAAACGAAAGCUAGGGUAGCGAACGGGAUUAGAUACCCCGGUAGUCCUAGCUGUAAACGAUGAGCACUUGGUUGGGGAUCCUCCCAUAGGUUCUCGACCGUAGCGAAAGUGUUAAGUGCUCCGCCUGGGGAGUAUGGUCGCAAGGCUG
This 377-nucleotide ribosomal RNA is filed under the name uncultured bacterium. Its description in RNAcentral is "bacterial SSU rRNA". It matches the Rfam family "Bacterial small subunit ribosomal RNA", at positions 521 to 896 of the family's 1533-position model. The record is from RNAcentral.